UACGAAGGGGGCUAGCGUUGUUCGGAAUUACUGGGCGUAAAGCGCACGUAGGCGGAUAUUUAAGUCAGGGGUGAAAUCCCAGAGCUCAACUCUGGAACUGCCUCUGAUACUGGGUAUCUUGAGUAUGGAAGAGGUGAGUGGAAUUGCGAGUGUAGAGGUGAAAUUCGUAGAUAUUCGCAGGAACACCAGUGGCGAAGGCGGCUCACUGGUCCAUAGCUGACGCUGAGGUGCGAAAGCGUGGGGAGCAAACAGG
This 253-nucleotide ribosomal RNA is filed under the name uncultured bacterium. RNAcentral's name for it is "partial 16S ribosomal RNA". It matches the Rfam family "Bacterial small subunit ribosomal RNA", at positions 524 to 776 of the family's 1533-position model. The record is from RNAcentral.